CAAUAGCGUAUAUUAAAGUUGUUGCGGUUAAAAAGCUCGUAGUUGGAUUUCUGCCGAGGACGACCGGUCCGCCCUCUGGGUGAGUAUCUGGCUCGGCCUGGGCAUCUUCUUGGAGAACGUAGCUGCACUUGACUGUGUGGUGCGGUAUCCAGGACUUUUACUUUGAGGAAAUUAGAGUGUUUCAAGCAGGCUUUCGCCUUGAAUACAUUAGCAUGGAAUAAUAAGAUAGGACUUUGGUCUAUUUUGUUGGUUUGCAGACCGAAGUAAUGAUUAAUAGGGAUAGUUGGGGGUAUUUAUAUUCCGAUGUCAGAGGUGAAAUUCUUAGAUUUUCGGAAGAUAAGCUUAUGCGAAAGCAUUUACCAAGGAUGUUUUCAUUAA
RNAcentral lists this ribosomal RNA (378 nucleotides) under uncultured eukaryote. RNAcentral describes it as "partial 18S ribosomal RNA". It matches the Rfam family "Eukaryotic small subunit ribosomal RNA", at positions 592 to 976 of the family's 1831-position model. The record is from RNAcentral.